AUACGGAGGGUGCAAGCGUUAUUCGGAAUCACUGGGCGUAAAGGACGCGUAGGCGGGUUGGCAGGUCAGAUGUGAAAUCCUACAGCUUAACUGUAGAACUGCAUUUGAAACUGCUAACCUAGAGUAUGGGAGGGGGAGAUGGAAUUAGUGGUGUAGGGGUAAAAUCCGUAGAUAUCACUAGGAAUACCGAAAGCGAAGGCGAUCUCCUGGAACAUAACUGACGCUAAGGCGUGAAAGCGUGGGGAGCAAACAGGAUUAGAUACCCUAGUAGUCC
Molecule: ribosomal RNA, 274 nt
Filed under: uncultured bacterium
Lineage: Bacteria
Description: partial 16S ribosomal RNA
Rfam family: Bacterial small subunit ribosomal RNA
Source: RNAcentral